Molecule: long non-coding RNA, 397 nt
Filed under: Androctonus crassicauda
Lineage: Eukaryota; Metazoa; Arthropoda; Arachnida; Scorpiones; Buthidae
Source: RNAcentral
CCCAGGAAGAGCUGAGAAAUAAGACUUGGAGGUUAAGGGGUGGGAUCCAGAGAGAGGCACCCCCCACACACCUUUGCCCACCCUGAGAUGGGCCAGCUAGGCAAUCAGUGGACAAAGCCAAAGGGUCUGUGGGGCCAACCCACCCUCUCUCCCCCCGUCCCGUGCCGCCUCCCUCCCUUCACACCCGCUUCUUUCCCGGGGUGGUUGGAGGCCCGGUCUGGAGCCCCUAUCCUGCGCCCUCUGCUGUGUCUGUGGCGUCUGUAGUGCCUGUGAUCGUGUGUUGCCAUUUUGUCUGGCUGUUGCCCCUCCCCCACCCCUCCAGACCUUCUCCCUUUCCCGUGCCCUUGGAUAUUGUUUGAAGACUCCCUCCCCGAGGAAGAACAAAUAUGAUUAAUUC